Molecule: long non-coding RNA, 1464 nt
Filed under: Olea europaea subsp. europaea
Lineage: Eukaryota; Viridiplantae; Streptophyta; Magnoliopsida; Lamiales; Oleaceae
Source: RNAcentral
AGUUUAACAAGGUAAGUCAGUUUAUCCUUUAAAAAAUUCAAUCGAAUUCGAGAACCGAAGAACAUUUUGCAUUUGUACUGUUUUUUAUGCAAUACACACUUUUACAGAAGUGUCUAUAUUUCCAGCCCAUAUCUAUUUUUCCUCCCCUUAUAUAUUUUUUACACUCCGGUGCAUCAUCUCUUCUUAAAAAACGAAAAGAAUUCAAUGUAUGCUAUGCUGAAGUGCAAGAAAAUGUGCUAGUGUCUUCUUAUUUGCUAAAAAAAGGUGAUGCAUCCAAGUGCAAAAGAUGAUUGUAGGAGACACUCAAUGGCACAGACAAAAUUUUGGAUAUCUCAACUCACUCUCUAUUUAUAAUAUUUUUUAAAUAAUAAUUACCUUAUCUAUGCCUUCUCAUUCUAUAAAUGAUUAGAUAAAAAAUAAAGCCAGAAUAUUAUCAGUCGGAAAUAACUGAAUUUUAUUAAUGAAAAGCAGACAUAGGAUUGUUAAAAUGUUCUUUUCCAGAUUCUCUCAAACCAAACUUGUAAAAUAAAACUACUACCCUCUACCAAUAUAAAAUACAAGUACUAAAACUUUGACUAAUUCCACUAACAAAGCACAUAUUCUGCACAUAAAAUACAACUUUGAUUUAUGCUUGAAUAUAAACAUCAAUCAAAUAUUUCAGUUUAACAAACAUACAUAGAGGGAGAGAAUGAUAGGUCUUCGUCGUCCAAUUUUGUAACGAACCCAUUUGCCGGACCAUUUACACUUGCACCAGCAAAUAAUAGGUAUUUUCUUGUAACCUUUUCCUAUGGUUUUCCACUGGCUUGGUUUUAAAUCAGGGAAUACUGUAGAGUAUUUACUAGAUAAAAUCUUGCUUUAGUUUUUAUUUUUGUUUAAUGUAAAUUUGUAAUUGGAAAUAACUGAUUACUCAUCGAAAAUGUUGCUGCAAAAGUUUAUUUAACCAACAUUCAUAUGUAUUAACUGUUUAAACCUAAAAUUACGUUCUAUUUGGACUCUUUUAAAUUUUGUUAGUUUGUGUAUGUGUUAUGUAUAUAUAUAUAUUCUCUAUCAAGAUAUAUGUAACUGCGCGCAGUAGGAGUUCAAAUUAGAAAAAAAUUUCUUCACAGACCUGUUUGGCUUUAUAAUUCUUGAACGGCCCAUUUGUGGUAGAGGUGGUGGUUGCAUGGCGGGUGGGUGAGAGGAUGACGAAGCAGAUCGGAUAGCGCCUUGCCGAAUGUUCCUCUCCCCAUCGCCGCUGCUUCGUUGAGGGCCUCUCUCUUCCGCCCGUUGGUGGUUGGAGAAAGAACCCUCCUCGGCACCACUACUGCUGGUGUUUAUCGCGGAUAUAGGAAAUGAGAAAUCUGUAAUAAGAUUAGAUGGCAUUUGUGAGAAAUAUGAAGAGCGCUGCUUGUAUUUAUAGUUUUGCUGUACUUUCAAAGAAGUGACUUCAAGUGGAUAACAGUAAAUACUAAUUUUUGUUUGAAU